Molecule: transfer RNA, 75 nt
Filed under: Candidatus Babeliales bacterium
Lineage: Bacteria; Candidatus Babeliae; Candidatus Babeliales
Description: tRNA-Val
Rfam family: tRNA
About the family: Transfer RNA (tRNA) molecules are approximately 80 nucleotides in length.
Source: RNAcentral
AGGCGCGUAGCUCAGGGGUAGAGCAUUGCUUUGACGUAGCAAGGGCCAGCGGUUCGAUUCCGCUCGCGCCUACCA